UCGGCACGUAGCGCAGCCUGGUAGCGCACCGUCGAUGGGGUGUCGGGGGUCGGAGGUUCAAAUCCUCUCGUNNCCGAACCA
RNAcentral lists this transfer RNA (81 nucleotides) under Escherichia coli. Its description in RNAcentral is "tRNA-OTHER". It matches the Rfam family "tRNA". Rfam says of the family: Transfer RNA (tRNA) molecules are approximately 80 nucleotides in length. The record is from RNAcentral. Lineage: Bacteria; Pseudomonadati; Pseudomonadota; Gammaproteobacteria; Enterobacterales; Enterobacteriaceae.